GACAACUGCUAUCUCUUGAGGGAAAUACAAGCACGGCCUCGGCCAGCACCUCCACCGCGGCGAUGGAGCAAGAGGAGCCCGAGGAGCCCGAGAAAUAAUUGGAAAAAUUAACAGAGGUCCCCUUCCCCCAAGACAGGAGGAGGAAAUGGACAUGUUUUAAAAUUAAUAAAUAUUUUUUAAAAGUGUUUGCAUUGUUAGUUGUGUAUAUUGCAAUUGAAUUGCUUGAAAGAAAAAAAAACUGGUAUCUAUAGUUCCAGAACUCUGGAGACUGAGCAAUGUAUUGAUUAAUUAAAAAAAAUUCUGCUUUGAGGUGAUGACUCAUAUUUCCAAGCACAUUGGAAAAAAAAGUUUUCAAUAUAUUCAAGAAAGUAACAUUAAAGUUUGCGUU
Long non-coding RNA from Magallana angulata, 388 nucleotides. RefSeq lists it as uncharacterized. Lineage: Eukaryota; Metazoa; Mollusca; Bivalvia; Ostreida; Ostreidae. The transcript has 3 exons. The record is from RefSeq and is a predicted model, not a curated record.